RNAcentral lists this ribosomal RNA (274 nucleotides) under uncultured bacterium. RNAcentral describes it as "partial 16S ribosomal RNA". It matches the Rfam family "Bacterial small subunit ribosomal RNA", at positions 523 to 796 of the family's 1533-position model. The record is from RNAcentral.
AUACGGAGGGUGCGAGCGUUGUUCGGAAUCACUGGGCGUAAAGGGCGCGCAGGCGGUUUGUCAAGUCAGAUGUGAAAGGCCACGGCUCAACCGUGGAGGUGCAUCUGAAACUGGCAGACUUGAGUACCGGAGGGGAAAGUGGAAUUCCCGGUGUAGAGGUGAAAUUCGUAGAUAUCGGGAGGAACACCGGAGGCGAAGGCGACUUUCUGGACGGAUACUGACGCUGAGGCGCGAAAGCGUGGGGAGCAGACAGGAUUAGAAACCCUAGUAGUCC